GUGCCACUGAGGAGUCCCACAAUAGGACGAAACGGUCGUCCAGUGC
Schistosoma mansoni is the source of this 46-nucleotide non-coding RNA. The record is from Rfam. NCBI's taxonomy places the organism in Eukaryota, Metazoa, Platyhelminthes, Trematoda, Strigeidida, Schistosomatidae.